UCCCUGGUGGCUCAGACGGUAAAGAAUCCGCCUGCAAUGCGGGAGACCUGGGUUCGAUCCCUGGGUUGGGAA
Molecule: non-coding RNA, 72 nt
Organism: Bos taurus (domestic cattle)
Lineage: Eukaryota; Metazoa; Chordata; Mammalia; Artiodactyla; Bovidae
Source: Rfam